Molecule: ribosomal RNA, 301 nt
Filed under: uncultured bacterium
Lineage: Bacteria
Description: partial 16S ribosomal RNA
Rfam family: Bacterial small subunit ribosomal RNA
Source: RNAcentral
CAGCCGCCGCGGGAAUACGUAGGUGGCAAGCGUUGUCCGGAAUUAUUGGGCGUAAGGGCUCGCAGGCGGUUUCUUAAGUCUGAUGUGAAAGCCCCCGGCUCAACCGGGGAGGGUCAUUGGAAACUGGGAAACUUGAGUGCAGAAGAGGAGAGUGGAAUUCCACGUGUAGCGGUGAAAUGCGUAGAGAUGUGGAGGAACACCAGUGGCGAAGGCGACUCCCUGGUCUGUAACUGACGCUGAGGAGCGAAAGCGUGGGGAGCGAACAGGAUUAGAUACCCCGGUAGUCCCUGUCUCUUAUACA